RNAcentral lists this non-coding RNA (24 nucleotides) under Arabidopsis thaliana (thale cress). The record is from RNAcentral. Lineage: Eukaryota; Viridiplantae; Streptophyta; Magnoliopsida; Brassicales; Brassicaceae.
AGGUGUAUCGGGCCAAGAUUUAGU